GAUGAACGCUGGCGGCGUGCCUAAUACAUGCAAGUCGAACGAAACUUCUUUAUCACCGAGUGCUUGCACUCACCGAUAAAGAGUUGAGUGGCGAACGGGUGAGUAACACGUGGGCAACCUGCCCAAAAGAGGGGGAUAACACUUGGAAACAGGUGCUAAUACCGCAUAACCAUAGUUACCGCAUGGUAACUAUGUAAAAUGUGUCUAUACUACCGCUUUUGGAUGGGCCCGCGGCGCAUUAGCUAGUUGGUAGGGUAAAGGCUUACCAAGGCAAUGAUGCGUAGCCGAAUUGAGAGGUUGAUCGGCCACAUUGGGACUGAGACACGGCCCAAACUCCUACGGGAGGCAGCAGUAGGGAAUCUUCCACAAUGGGCGAAAGCCUGAUGGAGCAACGCCGCGUGGGUGAAGAAGGUCUUCGGAUCGUAAAACCCUGUUGUUAGAGAAGAAAGUGCGUGAGAGUAACUGUUCACGUUUCGACGGUAUCUAACCAGAAAGCCACGGCUAACUACGUG
RNAcentral lists this ribosomal RNA (512 nucleotides) under uncultured bacterium. RNAcentral's name for it is "partial 16S ribosomal RNA". It matches the Rfam family "Bacterial small subunit ribosomal RNA", at positions 28 to 507 of the family's 1533-position model. The record is from RNAcentral.